GGGUUGUGAGGUUAAGCGACUAAGCGUACACGGUGGAUGCCCUGGCAGUCAGAGGCGAUGAAGGACGUGCUAAUCUGCGAUAAGCGUCGGUAAGGUGAUAUGAACCGUUAUAACCGGCGAUUUCCGAAUGGGGAAACCCAGUGUGAUUCGUCACACUAUCAUUAACUGAAUCCAUAGGUUAAUGAGGCGAACCGGGGGAACUGAAACAUAUAAGUACCCCGAGGAAAAGAAAUCAACCGAGAUUCCCCCAGUAGCGGCGAGCGAACGGGGAGCAGCCCAGAGCCUGAAUCAGUGUGUGUGUUAGUGGAAGCGUCUGGAAAGGCGCGCGAUACAGG
RNAcentral lists this ribosomal RNA (335 nucleotides) under Escherichia coli. Its description in RNAcentral is "bacterial LSU rRNA". It matches the Rfam family "Bacterial large subunit ribosomal RNA", at positions 1 to 363 of the family's 2925-position model. Lineage: Bacteria; Pseudomonadati; Pseudomonadota; Gammaproteobacteria; Enterobacterales; Enterobacteriaceae. The record is from RNAcentral.